RNAcentral lists this ribosomal RNA (253 nucleotides) under uncultured bacterium. Its description in RNAcentral is "partial 16S ribosomal RNA". It matches the Rfam family "Bacterial small subunit ribosomal RNA", at positions 524 to 776 of the family's 1533-position model. The record is from RNAcentral.
UACGAAGGGGGCUAGCGUUGUUCGGAAUUACUGGGCGUAAAGGGCGCGUAGGCGGUGUGUCAAGUCAGGCGUGAAAGCCCCGGGCUCAACCUGGGAACCGCGCUUGAGACUGCCGCGCUCGAGUUCGGGAGAGGAUGGUGGAAUUCCCAGUGUAGAGGUGAAAUUCGUAGAUAUUGGGAAGAACACCGAUGGCGAAGGCAGCCAUCUGGACCGACACUGACGCUGAGGCGCGAAAGCGUGGGGAGCAAACAGG